UAAUGAUGGUGAGGGAGUCCCUUUUAUAGAAUAAGGGCUCGCUCCUCAAUACAUAAGUGAUGGGCUAGGAGUGAUGUUUGCAGCAAGGCAGUUGCUCAGCUGGCGGCGUUGCUCUCUAAUGAAGGUAAGGGAGUCCCUUUUAUAAAAUAAGGGUUCACUCCUCAGUACAUGAAUAAUGGGUGCUCUCUAAUGAAAGUGAGGGAUUCCCUUUUAUAGA
Molecule: long non-coding RNA, 217 nt
Filed under: Malus domestica (apple)
Lineage: Eukaryota; Viridiplantae; Streptophyta; Magnoliopsida; Rosales; Rosaceae
Description: long non-coding RNA (MDOM_LNC007745)
Source: RNAcentral